This 2727-nucleotide ribosomal RNA is filed under the name Ctenocephalides felis (cat flea). RNAcentral describes it as "eukaryotic LSU rRNA". It matches the Rfam family "Eukaryotic large subunit ribosomal RNA", at positions 323 to 2312 of the family's 3401-position model. The record is from RNAcentral. Lineage: Eukaryota; Metazoa; Arthropoda; Insecta; Siphonaptera; Pulicidae.
UGACCACGAGACCGAUAGCGAACAAGUACCGUGAGGGAAAGUUGAAAAGAACUUUGAAGAGAGAGUUCAAGAGUACGUGAAACCGUUCAGGGGUAAACCUGAGAAACCCGAAAGAUCGAAAGGAGAGAUUCAAUGUAUCGUUGUCUUCCAUUUAUUGGCGUGCGAUUGACCGGGAUUCGUCCUGCGAUACGCCGUCGGUUUAUGCGUUAGGCGGCGAUGGCAUGCACUUCUCUCUCAGUAGGACGUCGCGACCGUUUGGUGUCGAUCUACGACCGCGGCGGUAGCCUGUCACGAAUUUAUUCGCGUCAGACCCCGCGUGCUCCGGUCGACUGCCAGACGGUAUAAACGAUAUGGUAUAGGGUCGCUUUUAAGCGUUCGGCCGGUUGCAAGCACGGACGGUUAUUGGCCGUCGGACCUGGUCCGGCAUCGAUGCCGCCUCGAGCUGUUAGCUGCCGUGUCCUCGGACGGACUCUAUUACCGGUCAGCGAUGCUAUUGCUUUGGGUACUUUCAGGACCCGUCUUGAAACACGGACCAAGGAGUCUAGCAUGUGCGCGAGUCAUUGGGAAAUACAAAACCUAAAGGCGCAAUGAACGUAAAGGUUUGCUUAAGUAAACUGAGGGAUGACAGACCGCAUCCACGGAUGCGUGCUUGCAAUCCCGAGGCGCCUCACUCUCAUUGCGAGAAGAGACGCACUCAGACCGUACACGCUAGGACCCGAAAGAUGGUGAACUAUGCCCGGUCAGGUCGAAGUCAGGGGAAACCCUGAUGGAGGACCGUAGCGAUUCUGACGUGCAAAUCGAUCGUCGGAACUGGGUAUAGGGGCGAAAGACUAAUCGAACCAUCUAGUAGCUGGUUCCCUCCGAAGUUUCCCUCAGGAUAGCUGGCAUUCGAUGAGCGAGUCUCAUCCGGUAAAGCGAAUGAUUAGAAGCCUUGGGGCCGAAACGACCUCAACCUAUUUUCAAACUUUAAAUGGAUGAGAUCUCUGGCUUGCUUGAAUAGUGAAGCCAGAGAUUUGGAUCAGAGUGCCUAGUGGGCCAUUUUUGGUAAGCAGAACUGGCGCUGUGGGAUGAACCAAACGCCGAGUUAAGGCGCCUAAACGACGCUAAUGGGAUACCAUGAAAGGCGUUGGUUGCUUAAGACAGCAGGACGGUGGCCAUGGAAGUUGGAAUCCGCUAAGGAGUGUGUAACAACUCACCUGCCGAAGCAACUAGCCCUGAAAAUGGAUGGCGCUGAAGCGUCGUGCCUAUACUCGGCCGCCAAGGCAUGAGAAACGUUCAUAAUAGUUCGUUUUGACGCCCUGGUGAGUAGGAGGGUCGCGGUGGUGUGCGCAGAAGGGUGUGGGCGUAAGCCUGCCUGGAGCCGCCAUCGGUGCAGAUCUUGGUGGUAGUAGCAAAUACUCCAGCGGGGCCCUGGAGGACUGACGUGGAGAAGGGUUUCGUGUGAACAGCCGUUGCACACGAGUCAGUCGAUCCUAAGCCCCAGGAGAAAUCCUAUGUUGAUGUCGGUGUAUUUUAUUUUGAAUAAAAUUUCACACCCAUCGGGCGAAAGGGAAUCCGGUUCCUAUUCCGGAACCCGGCAGCGGAACCGUUUACAAGUCGGGCCCUCGCAAGAGAGUUCGUCGGGGUAACCCAAAAUGACCUGGAGACGCCGUCGGGAAAUACGGGAAGAGUUUUCUUUUCUGUAUGAGCGUUCGAGUUCCCUGGAAUCCUCUAGAAGGGAGAUAGGGUUUGGAACGCGAAGAGCACCGCAGUUGCGGCGGUGUCCGUAUCUUCCCCUCGGACCUUGAAAAUCCAGGAGAGGGCCACGGUAGGUGUCGCGCCGGUUCGUACCCAUAUCCGCAGCAGGUCUCCAAGGUGAAGAGCCUCUAGUCGAUAGAUAAAUGUAGGUAAGGGAAGUCGGCAAAUUGGAUCCGUAACUUCGGGAUAAGAAUUGGCUCUGGGGAUCGGGGCGUGCCGGGCUUGGUUGGGAAGCGGGCGUAGGCCGAUGUGCCGGGCAUGGGCAAAGUGAAAUUGUCCUUGUGACUUAGAUCCGAGCUCGGUCCCGUGUCUAGGCCCCCCGCGGAUCUUUCUUGCUGCGAGGUUUCUGUGCCGGCUUCGGUCGGUCAGUCGUACUCUUCGGCCGCCAUUCAACGGUCAGCUCAGAACUGGCACGGACUAGGGGAAUCCGACUGUCUAAUUAAAACAAAGCAUUGCGAUGGCCCUAGCGGGUGUUAACGCAAUGUGAUUUCUGCCCAGUGCUCUGAAUGUCAACGUGAAGAAAUUCAAGCAAGCGCGGGUAAACGGCGGGAGUAACUAUGACUCUCUUAACAUCCAGAAUUCAAUUCAAUUCAAUCUACUAAAAAGAAAAACGCACCAGAAAUGAAUAAAAGGCAGAUGCGCAGGUUAGCUUAUAAAGUCACGCAACAGCACUGGACCAAAAAUCCUAGCAAAUGUAUUGCUUACAUUUUAGACUGCAAAACUACCUCUACAACACCACCACCAGAUAUAAUGGUGCAAUUCUGGACAAAUGUUCUAACAAGCACAUCGAAUACAUCACCGUACGGCCAGGUAGCGAGAAACGAAAACCUCUCACACAUAUGGAAGCCGGUAACUUCUGAGGAGAUUAAGAAUGCGCUUCCAGCUAGAAACACAGCACCUGGGCCUGAUGGUGUUUCGGCCAAACUUCUGAGGUCGAUGCCGGUGGACAUCCUGGCAAAUGUGCUUAACUUACUGUUACUAAUGGGCCGC